Molecule: ribosomal RNA, 486 nt
Filed under: uncultured bacterium
Lineage: Bacteria
Description: partial 16S ribosomal RNA
Rfam family: Bacterial small subunit ribosomal RNA
Source: RNAcentral
AUUGAACGCUGGCGGCAUGCCUUACACAUGCAAGUCGAACGGCAGCACGGGUGCUUGCACCUGGUGGCGAGUGGCGAACGGGUGAGUAAUACAUCGGAACAUGUCCUGUAGUGGGGGAUAGCCCGGCGAAAGCCGGAUUAAUACCGCAUACGAUCUACGGAUGAAAGCGGGGGACCUUCGGGCCUCGCGCGAUAGGGUUGGCCGAUGGCUGAUUAGCUAGUUGGGGGGGUAAAGGCCUACCAAGGCGACGAUCAGUAGCUGGUCUGAGAGGACGACCAGCCACACUGGGACUGAGACACGGCCCAGACUCCUACGGGAGGCAGCAGUGGGGAAUUUUGGACAAUGGGCGAAAGCCUGAUCCAGCAAUGCCGCGUGUGUGAAGAAGGCCUUCGGGUUGUAAAGCACUUUUGUCCGGAAAGAAAUCCUUGGCCCUAAUACGGUCGGGGGAUGACGGUACCGGAAGAAUAAGCACCGGCUAACUACGUG